Molecule: transfer RNA, 91 nt
Filed under: Actinomadura cremea
Lineage: Bacteria; Bacillati; Actinomycetota; Actinomycetes; Streptosporangiales; Thermomonosporaceae
Description: tRNA-His
Source: RNAcentral
CGCGGGGUUGCUCGGCGCCCCGAGGGCGUGGCUUGUGAGGCCGCGAAGGCGUGGGUCUUCGGGGGCGGCCGUGCGGCUCGGCUGCCCGUGG